Molecule: ribosomal RNA, 765 nt
Filed under: Escherichia coli
Lineage: Bacteria; Pseudomonadati; Pseudomonadota; Gammaproteobacteria; Enterobacterales; Enterobacteriaceae
Description: partial 23S ribosomal RNA
Rfam family: Bacterial large subunit ribosomal RNA
Source: RNAcentral
AUAAUGGGUCAGCGACUUAUAUUCUGUAGCAAGGUUAACCGAAUAGGGGAGCCGAAGGGAAACCGAGUCUUAACUGGGCGUUAAGUUGCAGGGUAUAGACCCGAAACCCGGUGAUCUAGCCAUGGGCAGGUUGAAGGUUGGGUAACACUAACUGGAGGACCGAACCGACUAAUGUUGAAAAAUUAGCGGAUGACUUGUGGCUGGGGGUGAAAGGCCAAUCAAACCGGGAGAUAGCUGGUUCUCCCCGAAAGCUAUUUAGGUAGCGCCUCGUGAAUUCAUCUCCGGGGGUAGAGCACUGUUUCGGCAAGGGGGUCAUCCCGACUUACCAACCCGAUGCAAACUGCGAAUACCGGAGAAUGUUAUCACGGGAGACACACGGCGGGUGCUAACGUCCGUCGUGAAGAGGGAAACAACCCAGACCGCCAGCUAAGGUCCCAAAGUCAUGGUUAAGUGGGAAACGAUGUGGGAAGGCCCAGACAGCCAGGAUGUUGGCUUAGAAGCAGCCAUCAUUUAAAGAAAGCGUAAUAGCUCACUGGUCGAGUCGGCCUGCGCGGAAGAUGUAACGGGGCUAAACCAUGCACCGAAGCUGCGGCAGCGACGCUGAUGCGUUGUUGGGUAGGGGAGCGUUCUGUAAGCCUGCGAAGGUGUGCUGUGAGGCAUGCUGGAGGUAUCAGAAGUGCGAAUGCUGACAUAAGUAACGAUAAAGCGGGUGAAAAGCCCGCUCGCCGGAAGACCAAGGGUUCCUGUCCAACGUUAAUCGGGGCA